RNAcentral lists this ribosomal RNA (1421 nucleotides) under Dictyosporium olivaceosporum. RNAcentral's name for it is "partial 18S rRNA". It matches the Rfam family "Eukaryotic small subunit ribosomal RNA", at positions 68 to 1107 of the family's 1831-position model. Lineage: Eukaryota; Fungi; Ascomycota; Dothideomycetes; Pleosporales; Dictyosporiaceae. The record is from RNAcentral.
AGCAUUAUACCGUGAAACUGCGAAUGGCUCAUUAAAUCAGUUAUCGUUUAUUUGAUAGUACCUUACUACUUGGAUACCCGUGGUAAUUCUAGAGCUAAUACAUGCUAAAAACCCCGACUUCGGGAGGGGUGUGUUUAUUAGAUAAAAAACCAACGCCCUUCGGGGCUCCUUGGUGAUUCAUGAUAACCUCUCAGAUCGCACGGCCUUGCGCCGGCGACGGUUCAUUCAAAUUUCUGCCCUAUCAACUUUCGAUGGUAAGGUAUUGGCUUACCAUGGUUUCAACGGGUAACGGGGAAUUAGGGUUCGAUUCCGGAGAGUGAGCCUGAGAAACGGCUCACACAUCCAAGGAAGGCAGCAGGCGCGCAAAUUACCCAAUCCCGACACGGGGAGGUAGUGACAAUAAAUACUGAUACAGGGCUCUUUUGGGUCUUGUAAUUGGAAUGAGUACAAUUUAAACCUCUUAACGAGGAACAAUUGGAGGGCAAGUCUGGUGGACAUUCAGCUCCCAUUCUGCUGACGCCAGAGAUAGUCGGGCAGCUUCAUGCGAAGCUGUUAUGCCGGCUAGUCGAGUACCUACUUAAUUGAUGGGGAGGUACCGGCAAGACAACCUGGAUCGGGGAAGGCUAAGGCAUGAAAGUGCUAUGCUAAUCCCGAGCAGAGCUACCAAGGAGCGAUCCCUGGAUAGCCUGUGUAGAGCGCGCUAAGGUGUCGGCCAGCUCACGUAGUUGGCUUAAGGGACGUGCCAUUCCCAUCCGAAAGGGUGGCUGCCAGCAGAAGCGCCCAUCACGCGAGCGCUGGCAGGUUCAAAGCUGUUUACACAGAUAGAGGGGGGUGAUGAUGUCGCCUUCCUCUAGCACUGUGAACAUUUUGAAGUGUAUCUAAAAGGCCAGCAGCCGCGGUAAUUCCAGCUCCAAUAGCGUAUAUUAAAGUUGUUGCAGUUAAAAAGCUCGUAGUUGAAUCUUUGGCCUGGCUGGCGGGUCCGCCUCACCGCGUGCACUUGUCCGGCCGGGCCUUCUCUUCUGGAGAACCGCAUGCCCUUCACUGGGCGUGUUGGGGACCAGGACUUUUACUUUGAAAAAAUUAGAGUGUUCAAAGCAGGCCUUUGCUCGAAUACGUUAGCAUGGAAUAAUAGAAUAGGACGUGCGGUCCUAUUUUGUUGGUUUCUAGGACCGCCGUAAUGAUUAAUAGGGACAGUCGGGGGCAUCAGUAUUCAAUUGUCAGAGGUGAAAUUCUUGGAUUUAUUGAAGACUAACUACUGCGAAAGCAUUUGCCAAGGAUGUUUUCAUUAAUCAGUGAACGAAAGUUAGGGGAUCGAAGACGAUCAGAUACCGUCGUAGUCUUAACCAUAAACUAUGCCGACUAGGGAUCGGGCGGUGUUAUCGAUUUGACCCGCUCGGCACCUUGCGAGAAAUCAAAGUGUU